AUGUUUUGGCGCCCAUACCGGACGGGGUAUGGGGACGGCCCGUUUCACCCUCAUACCGGACGGGGUAAUGAGGUCUAUGGUUUGGCGCCCAUACCGGACGGGGUAUGGGGACGGCCCUGGAGUGGAUUUCAAGUGUUAAGGAUUAACGGAUAGCGGGACCCCUAUGGAUCCCCAUGGAUACUAGUGGGCUGGUGAAUUAGGAAAAUAUGUUGUGUAACGAUUGAAUU
Molecule: long non-coding RNA, 227 nt
Filed under: Carica papaya (papaya)
Lineage: Eukaryota; Viridiplantae; Streptophyta; Magnoliopsida; Brassicales; Caricaceae
Description: long non-coding RNA (CPAP_LNC005907)
Source: RNAcentral